Small nuclear RNA from Octodon degus (degu), 107 nucleotides. The record is from Ensembl. NCBI's taxonomy places the organism in Eukaryota, Metazoa, Chordata, Mammalia, Rodentia, Octodontidae.
AUGCUUGCCUUGGCAGCACAUAAACUAAAAUUGGAACUAUACCGAGAAGAUUAGCAUGGCCCCUGCACAAGGAUGUCAUGUGAAUUCAUGAAGUGUUCCACAUUUUU